Molecule: ribosomal RNA, 467 nt
Filed under: uncultured bacterium
Lineage: Bacteria
Description: bacterial SSU rRNA
Rfam family: Bacterial small subunit ribosomal RNA
Source: RNAcentral
GACGAACGCUGGCGGCAUGCCUAACACAUGCAAGUCUAGGGGUAGCAAUACCACUGGCGCACGGGUGAGUAACACGUAGGUUAUCUGCCCCCAUCACAGACAUAACCCCGGGAAACCGGGGCUAAUAUCUGAUGAGGUCGCGAGAUCAAAGCUUCGGCGGAUGGGGAUGAGCCUGCGGCUGAUUAGCUAGUUGGUGAGGUAAUGGCUCACCAAGGCGACGAUCAGUAGCUGGUCUGAGAGGACGAACAGCCACACUGGAACUGAGACACGGUCCAGACUCCUACGGGAGGCAGCAGUGAGGAAUAUUGGUCAAUGGGAGCAAUCCUGAACCAGCAAUGCCGCGUGUGGGAUGACAGGGCUUCGCCUUGUAAACCCACUGUCGGACGGGACGAAAGGAGGCCUCGGGCCUCUGGGACGGUACCGUCAAAGGAAGGGUCGGCUAACUACGUGCCAGCAGCCGCGGUAAU